This 73-nucleotide transfer RNA is filed under the name Chloroflexota bacterium. Its description in RNAcentral is "tRNA-Lys". It matches the Rfam family "tRNA". From Rfam's summary of the family: Transfer RNA (tRNA) molecules are approximately 80 nucleotides in length. Lineage: Bacteria; Bacillati; Chloroflexota. The record is from RNAcentral. RNAcentral also lists the same sequence under 2 other names.
GGGCCGCUAGCUCAAUUGGCAGAGCAACUGACUCUUAAUCAGUAGGUUACAGGUUCGAUUCCUGUGCGGCUCA